This 905-nucleotide ribosomal RNA is filed under the name uncultured bacterium. RNAcentral's name for it is "bacterial SSU rRNA". It matches the Rfam family "Bacterial small subunit ribosomal RNA", at positions 62 to 1013 of the family's 1533-position model. The record is from RNAcentral.
UCGAACGAAGUAGCAAUACUUAGUGGCAGACGGGUGAGUAACAUGUGGGUAUCUACCCUUUGGCCUGGAAUAACACGAGGAAACUUGUGCUAAUACCGGAUAAGUCUUUACGGAGAAAGCUUUAUGCACCAUUGGAUGAGCCCGCACUUGAUUAGUUUGUUGGUAGGGUAAUGGCCUACCAAGACUAUGAUCAAUAGCUGAUUUGAGAGGAUGAUCAGCCACAUUGGGACUGAGACACGGCCCAAACUCCUACGGGAGGCAGCAGUGGGGAAUCUUGCACAAUGGAGGAAACUCUGAUGCAGCGAUGCCGCGUGAGUGAAGAAGGCCUUUGGGUUGUAAAGCUCUUUCGUCGGGGAAGAAAAUGACUGUACCCGAAUAAGAAGGUCCGGCUAACUUCGUGCCAGCAGCCGCGGUAAUACGAAGGGACCUAGCGUAGUUCGGAAUUACUGGGCUUAAAGAGUUCGUAGGUGGUUGAAAAAGUUGGUGGUGAAAUCCCAGAGCUUAACUCUGGAACUGCCAUCAAAACUUUUCAGCUAGAGUAUGAUAGAGGAAAGCAGAAUUUCUAGUGUAGAGGUGAAAUUCGUAGAUAUUAGAAAGAAUACCAAUUGCGAAGGCAGCUUUCUGGAUCAUUACUGACACUGAGGAACGAAAGCAUGGGUAGCGAAGAGGAUUAGAUACCCUCGUAGUCCAUGCCGUAAACGAUGUGUGUUAGACGUUGGAAAUUUAUUUUCAGUGUCGCAGGGAAACCGAUAAACACACCGCCUGGGGAGUACGACCGCAAGGUUAAAACUCAAAUGAAUUGACGGGGACCCGCACAAGUAGUGGAGCAUGUGGUUUAAUUCGAAGAUACGCGCAGAACCUUACCAACACUUGACAUGUUCGUCGCGACUCUAAGAGAUUAGAGU